Molecule: transfer RNA, 69 nt
Filed under: Pangasianodon hypophthalmus (striped catfish)
Lineage: Eukaryota; Metazoa; Chordata; Actinopteri; Siluriformes; Pangasiidae
Rfam family: tRNA
About the family: Transfer RNA (tRNA) molecules are approximately 80 nucleotides in length. Their secondary structure includes four short double-helical elements and three loops (D, anti-codon, and T loops). Further hydrogen bonds mediate the characteristic L-shaped molecular structure. tRNAs have two regions of fundamental functional importance: the anti-codon, which is responsible for specific mRNA codon recognition, and the 3' end, to which the tRNAs corresponding amino acid is attached (by aminoacyl-tRNA synthetases). tRNAs cope with the degeneracy of the genetic code in two manners: having more than one tRNA (with a specific anti-codon) for a particular amino acid; and 'wobble' base-pairing, i.e. permitting non-standard base-pairing at the 3rd anti-codon position.
Source: Rfam by way of RNAcentral
GCAUUGGUGGUUCAGUGGUAGAAUUCUCGCCUGCCACGCUGGAGGUCUGGUUCGAUUCGGGCCAAUGCA